Long non-coding RNA from Orcinus orca (killer whale), 4596 nucleotides. RefSeq lists it as uncharacterized. The record is from RefSeq and is a predicted model, not a curated record. Lineage: Eukaryota; Metazoa; Chordata; Mammalia; Artiodactyla; Delphinidae. The transcript is spliced from 5 exons.
GACUGGGGCGGACACCAGAGUGAGGCCCCUCCUUCCAGGGGCGGGGCAAGCAGACGGGCGGGGCGGGCGCGGGAGCAAACCUCUGAGUCACCGGCCACCAACGCCCGGGAGGGAGGGUGGUGUCGCUUACCGCCUGGACCCGGAGCGCACCACCCCCUGAGCAGAAGAACUGGUCCACCAGCGCCUCGGCGCCCAGCGGGCAAGUGGUCAGAUGGUCUGGCCAAGUGAGCAGAGAUUUCGCUUUCCUGUCCUUUCUUCAUUGCAUACAUCCCCAAUACCAAGAGAAGUACUAUAUUUAGAGAAGCUUCUGCUUUUAAGUUCUAGAAAUUUAGACUCUGCCUCGGCCUCCACCACUGAUAUACUAUGAAAAUUAAAUGCGUCAUUUCAUGUAAAGGAUUUAGAACAGCACAUGGCACAUAGCAUGCGGGAUCCUAGCUCCCCAACCAGGGAUUGAACCCUCACCCCCUGCAUUGAAAGGCGAAGUCUUAACCACUGGACCGCCAGGGAAGUCCCCAGCCAGUCAUUCUUAUGCAGAGAUUUGUAACCUCGUUUCUGCAGCAUCUAAUUGAGCAUCAAAUGUUCUCAACUGAUGAUAAAAGUCACAAAACAAAAUUAAUUUGCAUCCACUUUAUCACAAGCAAUCACAACAAAUAUUGAUAACCUGUUUUAUGCCAGUCACUAUGCUAUGGUGAUACAGCAAUGAACAAGACAGGCAGUGUCUUCCUUGGAGGCCUAUGGCCUAGCAGGGAAGAUAAAAUACAUAUAAAUAAUUAAAUAACCACAAGCUGGAAGGCCAAAGGGCAUAUAUAACAAUGAGAAUUGACCUAGCCUGAGAUGAAUAGAGAAGUCCUAGUGACAGUUAGGGAAUUCCCUGUUGGUCCAGUGAUUAGGACUCUGCCUUUCCACUGCAGGGGGCAUGGGUUCUUUUUCUGGUCGGGGAACUAAGAUCCUUCAUGCCGCUUCGUGGCCAAGGGGAAAAACAAAAGUGACAGUUAAGUUGAAAGCUACAUGAAUAGAAUUUAGCUAGGCAAAGAGAGAAAGCAAAAUGUUUCUGCCAGAGAAAACAGCAUAUGCGAGUGCACUGAGGCAGAAGAAGCCUGUGAGAAAGUUUGUAGAAUUUUCUUGUUUGACUACGAGAAAGUGUAGAGAUUCAGAAGCAGUCUAGCAAAGAAGAUGCUGCAGAGGUAGGCAGGUAGGCAUUGGAGGCCAAAGUAGGAGUUUUUGAACUUUAUUUUGAUAGAUUUGCUAGAUAAAAUACAGGAUGUUGAAUUAAAUGUAUAUUUCAGAUAUAUACCUGAAAUUUAUAUUUCAGAUAAACAAUAUUUUAGCAUAAGUCCCAAAUAUUACACUGAACAUACUUUACACUAAAAAAAUUAUCUGUUAUUUAUAUGAAAUUUAAAUUUAACUGGACAUCCUGCUUGCAAAACCUGGCAACUCCAUUUUAAUAGCAAUGUGAGGUCUGAAAGGCAAAGGAGGGAAAUGAUAAAAUUUGCUUGUUGAAAAAUUACUAAUUAUAGAGUGGAAGAUGUAUUUGAGGCAGAGCAAAAGUACAUGAGAAGAUCUUGAUCAGUCCCUCUUUCUUAAACCUUCUCUUCCUUUGCCUUCUUAUGUAAUCACACCUGGUUUCUCUCCCAUCUCUCUACUACUCCAUAGUCUCCUUUAGUCGGUCCACCUUUUUUUUUUUUUGCGGUACGCUGGCCUGUCACUGCUGUGGCCUCUCCCCUUGCGGAGCAUGGGCUCCGAACGUGCAGGCUCAGCGGCCAUGUCUCACGGGCCCAGCCACUUGGCAGCAUGUGGGAUCUUCCUGGACCGGGGCACGAACCCGCGUCCCCUGCAUUGGCAGGCGGACUCUCAACCACUGCGCCACCAGGGAAGCCCCGGUGUACCUAUUUUAUUAGACAUUUAAAUGUUGGUGUUCUAAGACUGACCACAGAGUUUGCAAGGAUAUGGAGCAACUAGUUUUUUCAUGUGUUGUUAGUAAGAGUGUGAAAUGCUUUGGAAAAAGGUUUGGAAGUUUCUUAUAAAAACAAAACAUCUAUGAUCUAGCCAUCCCACUUGUGGGUAUAUAUUCAAAAGAAUUGAAAGCAGGAUCUCAAAGAGAUAUUUGCACACCCAUGUUCACUGCAGUCUUUUUAAAAAAAUUUAUUUAUCAUUGCAGUCUUAUUCACAUUAGACAAGGGGUAGAAGUAGUCCAAUGUUCCUCUACUGAUGACUGGAUAAAGGAAGUGUGGUAUAUACACAGAUGGAAUAUUAUUUAGCCUUAAGAAAGAAGGAGGGCUUCCCUGGUGGCACAGUGGUUAAGAAUCCGCCUGCCAAUACAGGGGACACGGGUUUGAUCCCUGGUCCGGGAAGAUCCCACAUGCCGCAGAGCAACUAAGCCCGUGCACCACAACUACUGAGCCUGCGCUCUAGAGCCUGCAAGCCACAACUUCUGAGCCUGUGUGCCACAGCUACUGAAGCCCGCGCCUAGAGCCCGUGCUCUGCAACAAGAGAAGCCACCGCAAUGAGAAGCCUGCGCACCGCAACGAAGAAUAGCCCCCACUCGCCGCAACUAAGAAAGCCGGUGUGCAGCAACGAAGACCCAACGCAGCCAAAAGUAAAUUAAAAAAAGAAAGAAAGAAAGAAAGAAAAAUCCUGUCACAUGCUGCAACAUGGAUGGACCUUGAGGAUAUUAUGUGAAGUGAAAUAAACCAGUCAUGAAAAGACAAAUACCGUAUGGUUCCAUGGUAUCUAGAUUAGGUCAAAUUCAUGGAAACAUAGAGUGGAGUAGUGGUUGCCGGGGAGGGAAGAGGGGAAAGUUGGGAGUUGCUUAACGGGUAUAGAGUUUCAGUUUUGCAAGAUGAAAAAGUUCUAGAGAUCUGUUACACAACAACGUGAGUAUAGUUAACACCACUGAACUGAACACUUAAAAAUGGUUAUGGGGGUAAAUUAAUUUGUGUUUUUUCUCAUAAUUUAAAAAAUUAUUUAAAAAAUACUAUUAUAGAAGGAUGCAAAAAUCCUGUCCAUGCAAGGGAGUUUCUUGACUCCUUGAGUAGCUUUUGCAGACUGUAAAUUGGAUUUUCCUCAUCAUGUGACCUCAAAAGAAUUCAGACAUAUUUAAUCCAGAAACAAAUUUCAAUUAGGGGAAGGAUUGCAAGUCUAUAAACAUCAUUUUGCUUCUAGAUUAGCUGGAUAUACAGAAGGAGUUUUCUAUAUUUACAUAUAUUUAACACAAAUGAUCAUGGAACAGUACUUGUGUAAAUAUAAUGGGUGGGGGUUCAGAUCAGGACAAUGCCUGGGAUGGAUUCUUGUGCUAUGAUGCUAACAUGUAAAAUAAAGAUUCUAUCACAAAAGAACAAAAACGAAACUAAACUAAACCAGAGCAACCAUCUACCGACCUUCUGACUCACGAGCAAUUCCACUUCUAGAUAUUUACUCAAGAGAAGUGAAAACAUACGUCCACAAAGAUUUAUACAGAAAUGCUCAUAGCAGCUUCAUUCAUGAUGGUAUCACACUGGAAAUAGCAUUUAAGUGUCCAUCAAUAGAAGAAAAGCUAAACAAACCAUGGUGUAGCCAUACAAUAAAAUAAGACUCAUCAAGAAAAAGGAACAAACUAAUCAUACAUGCAACAACAGGAAUGAAUCUCAAAAAUAAUAUGCUGAAUAAAAGAAACCUUACAUACAAGAAAGAGUAUAUACUGUAUGAUUCCAUUUAUAUGAAGUUCCAGAAGGCAAUCUUUGGUGGAAAAAUAUCAGAAUUAUGGUUGCUUCUAUGGAAGAGGGGAUAGAGACUGACUGGAAAGGGACUUGCGGGGAUUUUCUAGGGUAAUCAUAAUGGCUAAAUAUUGAUAGGAAUUUGCAUUAAAUAGGCAAGUAUGCAUUUGUUGAAAUUCAGCAAAUAGUGCAUUUAGGGUUGGCACAUUUCAUUAUAUGUAAAUUUCAACUUAAAAAAGAACCAUAUCCUUAAAAAACUAAAAAUAGAACUACCGUAUGACCCAGCAAUCCCAGUACUGGCCGUAUACCCCGAGAAAACCAUAAUUCAAAAAGAGUCAUGUACCACAAUAUUCAUUGCAGCACUAUUUACAAUAGCCAGGAUUUGGAAGCAACCUAAGUGUCCAUCAAAAGAUGAAUGGAUAAAGAGGAUGUGGCACACGUAUACAGUGGAAUAUUACUCAGCCAUAGAAAGAAAUGAAAUUGAGUUAUUUGUAGUGAGGGGGAUGGACCUAGAGUCUGUAAUACAGAAUGAAGUAAGUCAGAAAGAGAAAAACAAAUACUGUAUGCUAACACAUAUAUAUGGAAUCUAAAAAAAAAAAAAAUGGUUCUGAAGAACCUAGGGGCAGGACAGGAAUAAAGACACAGAUGUAGAGAAUGGACUUGAGAACACGGGGAUGGGGAAGGGUAAGCUGGGAUGAAGUGAGAGAGUAGCAUUGUCAUAUAUACAUUACCAAAUGUAAAAUAGAUAGCUAGUGGGAAGCAGCUGCAUAGCACCGGGAGAUCAGCUCGGUGCUUUGCGACCACCUAGAGGGGUGGGAUAAGGAGUGGGGAUGGAGAUGCAAGAGAGAGGGGAUAUGGAGAUAUAUGUAUGCAUAUAGCUGAUUCACUUUGUUAUACAGCAGAA